AACUGCUAGAGAAAAGCAUUCUGUUUCAGGAGUCGGGAGAAAACUUCUGAUUCGAAAUACAUUAAAUAGUAACUCACUAAACAGGCAACAUUUUAGCGAGAAUAGAAAGGCUCCAGGAAUGUAGCCUAGCUUCAUGAAUCUGAAAGAUUAGCCUUUUGGGUUGCUUGGCCGGUUCGGUCCAAAAUAGUUUGUCACCAAUCCCAUAAUUGCAAACAUCAUAGCCAUCAUAACCUGCUUGAGAUCAUUUUCGUAAUUCUUCAUAUUUGAAAGAGACUCGGCACAAAAAAUUAUUGCCAGCCAUGACAAGAGUUUGUAGCGUAACAUGACGCCGGAGAUUCCGAAGGCCACGGCGAGGAAGCCCGCAUAGUCGACGGGGAGAUCCUGGGCGGAUAUCGCCGGAGGCGCGUACGGCCUCGCCGUCGACGGCUGCCGCGGAUCGUUGCCGGAAGAGCUCGUCUCCUUCAUUCUCUCG
RNAcentral lists this unclassified non-coding RNA (472 nucleotides) under Hevea brasiliensis (rubber tree). The record is from RNAcentral. Lineage: Eukaryota; Viridiplantae; Streptophyta; Magnoliopsida; Malpighiales; Euphorbiaceae.